Molecule: unclassified non-coding RNA, 387 nt
Filed under: uncultured Chytridiomycota
Lineage: Eukaryota; Fungi; Chytridiomycota
Description: sequence contains ITS1
Rfam family: 5.8S ribosomal RNA (bases 1-93)
Source: RNAcentral
GAAAUGCGAUACGUAAUGUGAAUUGCUUUCCGUGAAUCAUCGAAUCUUUGAACGCACAUUGCACCCAAUUAGGGUAUGCCUGUUUGAGAAUCUAUAGUAAAUCUUAUGCAUUAUUUUGUCUAACAAAAUUCUGUAUAGAUAUGAAGUGUCCCGCUUUUGUGGGUACUUUGAAAUAGAUUGCUUUGUAUUACAUGAGAAUGCUUGACAUUUCCUCAUCACCUUGCAGAAACGUAUGUGACUGAAGCUUUUGUUUCUCAUAAUGCCUAAUAUGUAAGGGAGGAGUGGAGUUCAAUUAUAAUAUGAAGUUCUAAACCAUAAGUAGUUUGUCUUGUAUAGGCUACUUGAACACAUGGUCUCAAAUCAGGUAGGAAGACCCGCUGAACUUAA